GAUUAUGGGAUUGUUUGAAACGCUCAUUCCUCUUACCCACUAAGGUGUUUCUUCUUAGGGUGAACUCACGGCAUCUCGUUCAGCCUAAAGGCAAUGGGAAGGGACUAGGGAGCCUGUACAAGGACAUAGAGUCAUGUGGAGAGUACAGAGAUAUCCAAGUGAUGUGGGAUAUGAUCCAUUCCUGUCCUCCUCGCUGUCCAUGAGUAGCAGCUUCAGAUGAGGCACCAUUCUGUUCUCUGCAACAAUGUUCAUGUUCAUGAAAACACAGAAUGUUCAUAUAUAUAAUAAUAAUACGAGAAGGGAUGAGUUUUGGGAUGUGGAAGUUUUUCAAUCAAGUCUGGUUCUUGUUUGGGGUUUCCUAUCAGUUGAAGAUGAAGAUGAGAAGUGGUGUGGGAUUUAGUCUGUUUCUUGUUGAUUUCAUUUGCAGAUAUUACAGUGGACAAGAAUGUAAUGCCAAAAGCUUAAUUUAGGGAGGGAGCUAUUAGCUAUUCAACUUAUUAUUAUAUCAUGCAUCAAAGUUUAAUGAUUGAUAUAUGAUUGCAUGCAUCUAUUGUAACUUCACUAUUUUGAUUAUUAAAAGGUUAUAAGUUCAUAUCU
This is a long non-coding RNA of Cucurbita maxima (winter squash), 597 nucleotides long. RefSeq lists it as uncharacterized. The record is from RefSeq and is a predicted model, not a curated record. Lineage: Eukaryota; Viridiplantae; Streptophyta; Magnoliopsida; Cucurbitales; Cucurbitaceae. The transcript has 2 exons.